GGUGAAAGAAGACAAGACAAGAGCUCCUCAACCGAUUUCUGUGGCCGAUAUUCAAUUUUCAAUUCAUCCAUUGAAACCCUCCUCAAUUCCCAAAUUAAUUCUCCCCGAUGAUGUCCAUGUCCAUGUCCAUGUCCAUGGCGGUUUUCUCCCCAAAAUCGCCGUGCCUCCCCCGCGCGCCUCCCUCACAAACCAAUUUCACUUUCAGGCCUCAAUCCCUCCCUAGAUUGCCCGCCAAAACACUUCACUUCCACUUACUGGUGGCCGCCGAUAAUGCCUCCGUGGUCUCCUCCGAUACGGUCACUCCCGAGGACUCCGCCGGCUCAAAUGGCUCUCCUUCCUCGCCGUCUCAGCCGCCCUUCGCGGCGGAGGCGACGGCUGGCAGCUUUCAGGACCCUAGGUGGGUUGGGGGAACGUGGGAUCUGAAACAGUUCGACAAGGAUGGGAAGACCGACUGGGAUGCCGUCAUUGAUGCUGAAGUAAAACGGAGGAAAUGGAUGGAAGAAAACCCGCAAUCGUCGAGCAACGAAAGCCCUAUCGUUUUCGAUACUUCCAUUAUUCCAUGGUGGGCGUGGAUGAAGAGAUUUCACCUUCCUGAAGCCGAACUCCUCAAUGGCCGUGCUGCGAUGGUAGGAUUCUUUAUGGCGUAUUUUGUCGACAGUUUGACGGGCGUAGGCCUCGUCGAUCAGAUGAACAACUUCAUAUGCAAAACAUUGCUGUUUGUCGUCGUAGCGGGUACCCUUCUGAUACGAAAGAACGAGGAUAUAGAGACCCUCAAGAAAUUACUUGACGAGACAACAUUCUACGAUAAGCAGUGGCAAGCGACCUGGCAGGACGAAUCCCCGAGCAGUAGUGGUUCGGGAUCAAAAGAUUGAAGAAAAUUGGGAAAUAAUUAUGCAGGCCUCUGAAAUGGACAAUGAACCUCCGGAGGAUCUAAUAAACGAGGAAACAUUCGGUUUGAGAAAGGAUAAAAUUGUUGGUCAAAUUUGGGCAGAAUCAGAAUGUCCAAAGCAACAUUACAUACGACAAUCUUCUUGAUUGGGAAGCCUCUUUUCCUUCCUUUGCAUUGAAACUCAUAUUUAUUACAACGUUGAAGAAGCUUUCUUUUUUGCAAGAAACGAAGACAACAACCAUCCCUUCGAUCUAUCCAACUGUUGAUUCUUGUCUUCAUCGAAUUUCCGUAGAAUCGGAUCGCAACAGCCUUCGCUCGCGACCAUCAUGACAAGUCGUUGCUGCCGGGGAAAGGCUGUGUCGGUGGCGAUAUAUUCCGAGAGGCCGAGAAACAGCCUCAUCUCAACCAAGGAUCAACGAAACAACAUCCACCACCACCACUACCACCACCACCACCACCACCAUCAGUACUACGAUUACCAUACCUUCCAUCGAAAAAA
Andrographis paniculata is the source of this 1388-nucleotide RNA transcript. It is a transcript of the gene named light-harvesting complex-like protein 3 isotype 1, chloroplastic, with no coding region annotated. The record is from RefSeq and is a predicted model, not a curated record. NCBI's taxonomy places the organism in Eukaryota, Viridiplantae, Streptophyta, Magnoliopsida, Lamiales, Acanthaceae. The transcript is spliced from 5 exons.